GCUCGUGUAGCUCAGUGGCUAGAGCUUCGUGCUUAUAGAUGUUUUCCAAAGUGUCAACUUUCUGUGUCCAAGGUUUUUAAAUGCAAACCUUCAGAGCAACGCGACCGUCGUGGGUUCAAUCCCCACCUCGAGCA
Molecule: transfer RNA, 134 nt
Filed under: Huiozyma naganishii CBS 8797
Lineage: Eukaryota; Fungi; Ascomycota; Saccharomycetes; Saccharomycetales; Saccharomycetaceae
Description: Kazachstania naganishii CBS 8797 tRNA
Rfam family: tRNA
About the family: Transfer RNA (tRNA) molecules are approximately 80 nucleotides in length. Their secondary structure includes four short double-helical elements and three loops (D, anti-codon, and T loops).
Source: Rfam by way of RNAcentral